Molecule: ribosomal RNA, 885 nt
Filed under: Triticum aestivum (bread wheat)
Lineage: Eukaryota; Viridiplantae; Streptophyta; Magnoliopsida; Poales; Poaceae
Description: partial small subunit ribosomal RNA
Source: RNAcentral
AUGGACCAGUUCCACGACGGGCACCACGUGCGGCUGCGGAACCUCGUGCAGCGCACCUACCUCCACGCCGCCGACGACGGGGUGGGCGUCACGCUCCACGAGCGCCGCGCGUCCAUGAACGCGGCGUGGGCGGUGCAUAUUUACCACGGCGGAGACGGCGAUGGAGACGGCGACGGCCAGAGCCUGCUCCUCCACAGCGCCGCCUACGGCCGCUACCUUGCCGCCGCGGCCAGGCCGGCACGGCUCGGCCACAGAGGCCUCCGCGCGGAGCUGAGCGACUACGACCUUCCGGAGGUGGAGGCCAUCGUGUGGCGGGCCGUCGGGUCGGGCUUCGAGGACGACGUCGUCCUGCUCCGCCACCUCGGCGGCCGCUACCUCCGCGCCAACGGCAAGUACCUCCCCUGGAACUCCUCCGGCGUCAGCGUCGACGACGACGCCAGCCCCAUGAUGUACUGGGUCGUCGAGCCCAUCCCUUUCAGAGAGGCGGGCAUGCCUGCCAUUCCUGGUCCGCUUCCGACUCGCCCAAGAUGCCUCUCCGCCAUAUUCGGUUCUCCCGGACGGCGGAUCCUGUUCGUGCGGGCGCUCGAGGACGGGUUCUACCCCGAGGAGGUCGACGGCUGGCGCCUGUUCUUGUUCAAGGGGAGGUCCGUGUUCCGCCUGAGGGACGACCUGGCGUUCCGCGUCGCUGCCGGCGUGGACGACCCGAACAUCGCCAUGUGCGUCCGAGCGGGCCGCUACGGGAGACUGACCCCGCUCGUCGUCGACCUGCCCCAUGGCGGCUACGGCGAGGGCGAGACCCUCGAGAUUGUCGUUUUCCUGGCCGGGACACCUGGUGAGAGCCUCUCUUCAUGCCCCUACAUAUCUCCUAAUGGUGGCAACAAGUGA